CUUAGCAGGAGUGGGAGGGGGGGUGCCCAGCUCCCCCAGUUCCCUGGCGGGCGACCCUCCUCCAGAGGGUCCUUCGGGCUGGGGCAGAGGGGCUCUGCUGCAGGCGGGCGCAGGAAGCACCCGGGUGCGCCCUCCUCCCAGCCCUCCUGCGGCGCGCUCUGUACCAGGGUGUCGCUCCUCUCCCUUCAUUCCGUCCCCACCUUUUGAACAUUCCUCUGGCCUGUCUGUCUGUCUGGGGUUUCCGGCCUCCCCUAUCCUGCGUCUUCUGGUACGUGCAGGGCGUAUAAGGAGGAGGUGUGAUGAGCAUAAGGAAGGAAAAACAGUGACUUCACUCAGCUGCCGGGUAAAGAGGCCAUGUUACUUAACCUCUCUGAGGUCGAGCCUGCUUAUCUUAAUAGCUCUGUGACAAGACACAUUGAUCUGUGCCUGGGUUUCCUUAUUUGGAAAAUGGACAUGGCAACACCGCCUACUACACAGGUUGUGUGUCAUAUCCAAGAAGUAAUUGCCAAGUCCAAUGUCAUGAAGAUUUUCCCCUAUAUUUUCUUCUAAGAGUUUUAUAGUUUUAGCUUUUAUGCUUUGAUCUCUGAUCCAUUUUGAGUUGAUUUUUGUACACGGGACUAGGUAGGGAUCUAACUUGACACUUUUACAUGUGGAUAUCCAAUUUUUCCAACAUCAUUUGUUGAAGAAACUGCCCUUCCCCAUUGUGUAACUUGGUACCCUUGUCAAAAAUCAUUUGGCCAUAUA
Long non-coding RNA from Manis javanica (Malayan pangolin), 744 nucleotides. RefSeq lists it as uncharacterized. NCBI's taxonomy places the organism in Eukaryota, Metazoa, Chordata, Mammalia, Pholidota, Manidae. The record is from RefSeq and is a predicted model, not a curated record.